UAAUGGGUCAGCGACUUAUAUUCUGUAGCAAGGUUAACCGUAUAGGGGAGCCGAAGGGAAACCGAGUCUUAACUGGGCGUUAAGUUGCAGGGUAUAGACCCGAAACCCGGUGAUCUAGCCAUGGGCAGGUUGAAGGUUGGGUAACACUAACUGGAGGACCGAACCGACUAAUGUUGAAAAAUUAGCGGAUGACUUGUGGCUGGGGGUGAAAGGCCAAUCAAACCGGGAGAUAGCUGGUUCUCCCCGAAAGCUAUUUAGGUAGCGCCUCGUGAACUCAUCUUCGGGGGUAGAGCACUGUUUCGGCUAGGGGGUCAUCCCGACUUACCAACCCGAUGCAAAC
Molecule: ribosomal RNA, 340 nt
Filed under: Citrobacter freundii
Lineage: Bacteria; Pseudomonadati; Pseudomonadota; Gammaproteobacteria; Enterobacterales; Enterobacteriaceae
Description: partial 23S ribosomal RNA
Rfam family: Bacterial large subunit ribosomal RNA
Source: RNAcentral